RNAcentral lists this microRNA (22 nucleotides) under Echinops telfairi (small Madagascar hedgehog). Its description in RNAcentral is "Ete-Mir-493_3p* (star (passenger))". Lineage: Eukaryota; Metazoa; Chordata; Mammalia; Afrosoricida; Tenrecidae. RNAcentral also lists the same sequence under 1 other name. The record is from RNAcentral.
UGAAGGCCUACUGUGUGCCAGG